CAGCAGGUUCCUUUCCUCUCAGCCCUUCUUCCUCAUCCAUAAGCGGAAGGGACAGGGCAUUUAUAGAGCGCACAGAAUCGGAGAGCUGAGUUAGGUUUAUUCAGUGUUUCCACUGUCCUGUACUGACAGAAGCUUGGCUGUACUUGGCUGGAACAUCUUUCAUCUUCCACUCCAAAGACUGAGCAAGCUGAGUCAGCUCAGGUGCCCAGAACCCCAUAGACAAUGGGAAGAUUCCACCUUCAGCUGGAGAGCAAGAGACAAGGUUUGAAGGAUAAAUAGAAGUUGGCCAGCUCAUUCCAUGGAUUUGAGAACAAGAAAGUGGAUCCAGAUGGGAUUCAGCUUGGAUGAGGCUGGAGAAAAUGGA
Long non-coding RNA from Eptesicus fuscus (big brown bat), 364 nucleotides. RefSeq lists it as uncharacterized. NCBI's taxonomy places the organism in Eukaryota, Metazoa, Chordata, Mammalia, Chiroptera, Vespertilionidae. The transcript has 3 exons. The record is from RefSeq and is a predicted model, not a curated record.